Xiphophorus hellerii (green swordtail) is the source of this 485-nucleotide long non-coding RNA. RefSeq lists it as uncharacterized. NCBI's taxonomy places the organism in Eukaryota, Metazoa, Chordata, Actinopteri, Cyprinodontiformes, Poeciliidae. The record is from RefSeq and is a predicted model, not a curated record. The transcript has 2 exons.
CACAAACAUGAAAACAGGAGCAAAGAAAUGUCAUUUUUAUUAGCUUGUAGCUGUUGUUGCUUGCACUAAAUGCUAACAUAUUGCAUGUCUUAGCCUCUGAGUUGUGUGGUGUGCCCCAUUCCCCAUUCAUGAACAUGACAGUGUGUGCCCCUGAUUAUCAGCCAGCUUAAAACAUUAAUAUUUAGGGAAGUUUGUCUGUGAUGACAAGCCUGAAAGAUGCAAUAUUUUCUGUAAUUGCUCUCCAACCCAGGUCCUGCUGUCCUGCAUGUUAUAGAUGUUUCCCUGCUGCUGCACGCCUUAUUUAAAUAGCAGGGGUCUUUGGAAGUUGAUACUAUGCUGAAGAGAUAAUGCAAUCAUUUCUACCAGAUGUGUUCUUGCAUCUCUCUGUUUAUUUUUUAUUUUGGUGACCAUUUCCAGAUGAAAGCAGGAAGCCCCAGAAACCCAUUUCUGUAAAUAUUUGACAGCUUGUUUAUACUUGGGAAGUU